Molecule: ribosomal RNA, 971 nt
Filed under: Staphylococcus aureus
Lineage: Bacteria; Bacillati; Bacillota; Bacilli; Caryophanales; Staphylococcaceae
Description: partial 23S ribosomal RNA
Rfam family: Bacterial large subunit ribosomal RNA
Source: RNAcentral
AUUCCUGUACCACCUAUAAUCGUUUUAAUCGAUGGGGGGACGCAGUAGGAUAGGCGAAGCGUGCGAUUGGAUUGCACGUCUAAGCAGUAAGGCUGAGUAUUAGGCAAAUCCGGUACUCGUUAAGGCUGAGCUGUGAUGGGGAGAAGACAUUGUGUCUUCGAGUCGUUGAUUUCACACUGCCGAGAAAAGCCUCUAGAUAGAAAAUAGGUGCCCGUACCGCAAACCGACACAGGUAGUCAAGAUGAGAAUUCUAAGGUGAGCGAGCGAACUCUCGUUAAGGAACUCGGCAAAAUGACCCCGUAACUUCGGGAGAAGGGGUGCUCUUUAGGGUUAACGCCCAGAAGAGCCGCAGUGAAUAGGCCCAAGCGACUGUUUAUCAAAAACACAGGUCUCUGCUAAACCGUAAGGUGAUGUAUAGGGGCUGACGCCUGCCCGGUGCUGGAAGGUUAAGAGGAGUGGUUAGCUUCUGCGAAGCUACGAAUCGAAGCCCCAGUAAACGGCGGCCGUAACUAUAACGGUCCUAAGGUAGCGAAAUUCCUUGUCGGGUAAGUUCCGACCCGCACGAAAGGCGUAACGAUUUGGGCACUGUCUCAACGAGAGACUCGGUGAAAUCAUAGUACCUGUGAAGAUGCAGGUUACCCGCGACAGGACGGAAAGACCCCGUGGAGCUUUACUGUAGCCUGAUAUUGAAAUUCGGCACAGCUUGUACAGGAUAGGUAGGAGCCUUUGAAACGUGAGCGCUAGCUUACGUGGAGGCGCUGGUGGGAUACUACCCUAGCUGUGUUGGCUUUCUAACCCGCACCACUUAUCGUGGUGGGAGACAGUGUCAGGCGGGCAGUUUGACUGGGGCGGUCGCCUCCUAAAAGGUAACGGAGGCGCUCAAAGGUUCCCUCAGAAUGGUUGGAAAUCAUUCAUAGAGUGUAAAGGCAUAAGGGAGCUUGACUGCGAGACCUACAAGUCGAGCAGGGUCG